CACGCCGUAAACGAUGUCGACUUGGAGGUUGUGCCCUUGAGGCGUGGCUUCCGGAGCUAACGCGUUAAGUCGACCGCCUGGGGAGUACGGCCGCAAGGUUAAAACUCAAAUGAAUUGACGGGGGCCCGCACAAGCGGUGGAGCAUGUGGUUUAAUUCGAUGCAACGCGAAGAACCUUACCUACUCUUGACAUCCAGAGAACUUAGCAGAGAUGCUUUGGUGCCUUCGGGAACUCUGAGACAGGUGC
Molecule: ribosomal RNA, 246 nt
Filed under: uncultured bacterium
Lineage: Bacteria
Description: partial 16S ribosomal RNA
Rfam family: Bacterial small subunit ribosomal RNA
Source: RNAcentral